AAUUUUGUAGUCAAUCAUGAUUUUAAAUUGCAAAUUUAAAGGUGAAUAAUUUCCAAAAUUU
This 61-nucleotide transfer RNA is filed under the name Cucujoidea sp. 22 KM-2017. Its description in RNAcentral is "tRNA-Cys". Lineage: Eukaryota; Metazoa; Arthropoda; Insecta; Coleoptera. The record is from RNAcentral.